Molecule: ribosomal RNA, 440 nt
Filed under: uncultured bacterium
Lineage: Bacteria
Description: partial 16S ribosomal RNA
Rfam family: Bacterial small subunit ribosomal RNA
Source: RNAcentral
CCUACGGGUGGCAGCAGUGGGGAAUAUUGCACAAUGGGGGGAACCUUGAUGCAGCAACGCCGCGUGGGUGAAGAAGUACUCCGGUAUGUAAAGCCCUGUCAGCAGGGAAGAAAAGGACGGUACCUGACCAAUAAGCCCCGGCUAACUACGUGCCAGCAGCCGCGGUAAUACGUAGGGGGCAAGCGUUAUCCGGAUUUACUGGGUGUAAAGGGAGCGUAGACGGCAAGGCAAGUCUGGAGUGAAAGCCCGUGGCUCAACCAUGGGACUGCUUUUGAAACUGUCAAACUAGAGUACGGGAGAGGUAAGAGGAAUUCCUAGUGUAGCGGUGAAAUGCGUAGAUAUUAGGAGGAACACCAAUGGCGAAGGCGUCUUACUGGACCGAAACUGACAUUGAUGCUCGAAAGUGUGGGUAUCAAACAGGAUUAGAUACCCGAGUAGUC